CCCAGCUAUAGGCAACUGCCUAGGGUACAUUGUACCCAGGAAAGUGUUACACUGCUGGGAGAAAAGCAGCCAGUAGCUGGCACAUGCUGGACCUGGCUAAUGCCAAAUUUGUGUUAACUAUACCUGUGUGUCAGCAUA
This is a small nucleolar RNA of Ochotona princeps (American pika), 138 nucleotides long. Its record names the gene SNORA74. It matches the Rfam family "Small nucleolar RNA SNORA74". From Rfam's summary of the family: U19 belongs to the H/ACA class of snoRNAs. snoRNAs bind a number of proteins (including dyskerin, Gar1p and Nop10p in the case of the H/ACA class) to form snoRNP complexes. This class are thought to guide the sites of modification of uridines to pseudouridines by forming direct base pairing interactions with substrate RNAs. Targets may include ribosomal and spliceosomal RNAs but the exact functions of many snoRNAs, including U19, are not confirmed. The record is from Ensembl. Lineage: Eukaryota; Metazoa; Chordata; Mammalia; Lagomorpha; Ochotonidae.